This 395-nucleotide long non-coding RNA is filed under the name Homo sapiens (human). Its description in RNAcentral is "novel transcript". The record is from RNAcentral. Lineage: Eukaryota; Metazoa; Chordata; Mammalia; Primates; Hominidae.
CAUAGAUAUCCACGCACCGAUGUUCAGAUAUAUUAAAUAUGUGAGAAGGACUUGAUUCAAUCCAUCAUCACUGUGAAACACUGCUCAAAGUGAAUACAUUUGGGAGAGUUAUGAGGACAAAAUGCAUUUACGAACAAAGUGACUAAAAUACAUAGAUGGAUCCUGGACUUCUGUGAAAUCUUCCACUCAAGAAUUCUACCCAGGAGGAUUAGAGAUGGCUUUAUCUCUGUUAUGUAUGUAGAGAUUCCUAUUGUUGGGUAAAUUUUCUAGUCUGUUUUAUGCCAGAUCCUUGUCUCUCAAUUUACCACUCUAAUAGUAUUUUCUCAUUCAGCAUACAUUUAAGAGGAAAAUGAUGUAUAUUUGCAUAUAUUAAAUUACUGUCAUCCUUUCUUAGA